This 511-nucleotide ribosomal RNA is filed under the name uncultured bacterium. RNAcentral describes it as "bacterial SSU rRNA". It matches the Rfam family "Bacterial small subunit ribosomal RNA", at positions 29 to 518 of the family's 1533-position model. The record is from RNAcentral.
AACGAACGCUGGCGGCGUGCUUAACACAUGCAAGUCGAACGCGAAAGGGACUUCGGUCCUGAGUAAAGUGGCGCACGGGUGAGUAACGCGUAGAUAACCUGUCUUCAUGUCUGGAAUAAUACGCCGAAAGGGGUACUAAUACCGGAUAUUCUUGCUUUUCAUAAGUUAUGCAAGCAAAGGUGGCCUCUGCAUAUGCUACUGCAUGAAGAGGGGUCUGCGUACCAUUAGCUAGUAGGUGGGGUAAUGGCCUACCUAGGCGACGAUGGUUAGCGGGUCUGAGAGGAUGAUCCGCCACACUGGCACUGGAACACGGGCCAGACUCCUACGGGAGGCAGCAGUGAGGAAUAUUGCGCAAUGGGGGAAACCCUGACGCAGCGACGCCGCGUGAGUGAAGGAAGGCCUUCGGGUCGUAAAGCUCUGUCAAGAGGAAAGAAGUGUACAAUGGCUAAUACCUGUUGUAUUUGACGGUACCUCUAAAGGAAGCACCGGCUAACUCCGUGCCAGCCGCAGC